GGAAUUAUUGGGCGUAAAGGGCGUGUAGGCGGCUUCUUAAGUCCGGUGUGGAAGCCCACGGCUCAACCGUGGAGGGUCACUGGAAACUGGGGGGCUUGAGAGCAGGAGAGGAGAGCGGAAUUCCACGUGUAGCGGUGAAAUGCGUAGAGAUGUGGAGGAACACCAGUGGCGAAGGCGGCUCUCUGGCCUGGCUCUGACGCUGAGGCGCGAAAGCGUGGGGAGCAAACAGGAUUAGAUACCCUGGUAGUCCACGCCGUAAACGAUGAGUGCUAGGUGUUAGUGGGGCUACCCAUUAGUGCCGAAGGAAACCCAAUAAGCACUCCGCCUGGGGAGUACGGCCGCAAGGCUGAAACUCAAAGGAAUUGACGGGGGCCCGCACAAGCAGUGGAGCAUGUGGUUUAAUUCGAAGCAACGCGAAGAACCUUACCAGGGCUUGACAUCCCGCUGACCGGCGCAGAGAUGUGCCUUUUCCUUCGGGGACAGCGGAGACAGGUGGUGCAUGGUUGUCGUCAGCUCGUGUCGUGAGAUGUUGGGUUAAGUCCCGCAACGAGCGCAACCCUUGUCCUUAGUUGCCAGCAAGCGAGUUGGGCACUCUAAGGAGACUGCCGAUGACAAAUCGGAGGAAGGUGGGGAUGACGUCAAAUCAUCAUGCCCCUUAUGUCCUGGGCUACACACGUGCUACAAUGGCCGGUACAAAGGGCCGCGAACCCGCGAGGGGGAGCCAAUCCCAAAAAGCCGGUCUCAGUUCGGAUUGCAGGCUGCAACUCGCCUGCAUGAAGGCGGAAUUGCUAGUAAUCG
This 798-nucleotide ribosomal RNA is filed under the name uncultured Bacillota bacterium. RNAcentral's name for it is "bacterial SSU rRNA". It matches the Rfam family "Bacterial small subunit ribosomal RNA", at positions 547 to 1344 of the family's 1533-position model. Lineage: Bacteria; Bacillati; Bacillota. The record is from RNAcentral.